UGCCCGGAGAAUGGAGGUGGUUCGCUGGCAGAAGCUGCGUGAUGGCUUCAAAGCUGGGCGUCUCAGUCCAGGACACAGGCCAGCUGCCGGCUUCGAGAAAACUGCUACCCACAGCCAGAUGCUCCUUCUCAACCUGCAUGAGGGAACAACACCAUCAACAGAGGCCUGGAAAACGAAGCCCCAGUAGAGCCCCAACUCACCCUUGGGUCCCCAAAGCUGAGCGAGGCCUGGCUCUAAACUGCUAUCGGUUCCCAAGCCAGAGGGUCCCUCCCCCAGGGGCGAACCCCUCCUGGAGACUCUACCCCUUACUCUACCAGAUGCAAAUGAGAUUGUGAACUUUUUAAUUGAAAGGUAGUUGAUGAUGAUAGUGUGAUCAUUUUAUUUUUGCUGCACAGCAGAGAGAUUCUGUGAUUCACACACACGUUCUUUUUUAUAUUCUUUAUAGUUCCCUGUGCGGCACAGCAGGGCCUUGUUGUUAAACCGUGAUUUGUCUGGAGGAGAAGAGGCAGUGUGCUGCAGGGGAACAGGUGCAGGUGUGGGGCGCGGAGGCUGCGCGCUCCCUGUCCAGACACGAAUAGUCCUACCUCAAGUCUGAUGCCAGGAGAGGGGGCUGCUGAACUCACCAGCCAAGCCACCCAUAGACAUGAACCUGAAGGGGACUCCUAAGGCAGAAAAAAGGGGACCAGAAACAUGAACUGGAGAAGCCCGGAGAGCCACAGAGCUGAGCAGAGAGCCGGGCAGAGUUCUGUUCGUCCAGAAAACAAAAACGAAGAAACUGGAUAUUUCUGCUGAAGCCUGGAAUGCACGCGAACAAAAGCCGUCUUCCUGCUGUCAUCAGCCUCGGCCCUCCGAGGAAUGAGGGUCUAGGAAAGGACCCCCCCCGCCACAGGACGAAAGGUCAGGCAAAGCCUCCCUCCAGCAGUCUGGAACUUUCUGUCGGCAGAACAGCCAGUUCAAGAAGUAAAGGCACAGGAGUUCCCGUGGUGGUGCCAUGGUGAACGAAUCCGACUAGGAACCACGAGGUUGCGGGUUCGAUCCCU
Molecule: non-coding RNA, 1040 nt
Organism: Sus scrofa (pig)
Lineage: Eukaryota; Metazoa; Chordata; Mammalia; Artiodactyla; Suidae
Source: RefSeq, a predicted model, not a curated record